This 194-nucleotide non-coding RNA is filed under the name Paracoccus sediminis. The record is from RNAcentral. Lineage: Bacteria; Pseudomonadati; Pseudomonadota; Alphaproteobacteria; Rhodobacterales; Paracoccaceae.
CUAAGGCAGCCCUGCCUCGGUUCCGGGUUUGCCCCCGGUUAAAAGGGAACGCGGUGCAAAUCCGCGACUGCCCCCGCAACUGUCAGCGGAGAGCGAGGCCGGAUCAACGCCACUGUCCCCCGCAUCGGGGAUGGGAAGGCCCGGCCAAGCGACGACCCGCAAGUCAGGAGACCUGCCGAACGCGAUCACCCUGA